RNAcentral lists this non-coding RNA (154 nucleotides) under Rossellomorea vietnamensis. RNAcentral describes it as "Bacillus vietnamensis Bacterial large subunit ribosomal RNA". It matches the Rfam family "Bacterial large subunit ribosomal RNA", at positions 1 to 154 of the family's 2925-position model. Lineage: Bacteria; Bacillati; Bacillota; Bacilli; Caryophanales; Bacillaceae. The record is from Rfam by way of RNAcentral.
GGUUAAGUUAUGAAGGGCGCACGGUGGAUGCCUUGGCACUAGGAGCCGACGAAGGACGGGACUAACACCGAUAUGCUUUGGGGAGCUGUAAGUGAGCUUUGAUCCAGAGAUUUCCGAAUGGGGGAACCCAUUGUUCGUAAUGGAACAAUAUCCU